CUGGUUUCCUGUCCUUUCCAGGAUUUACUCAGCAGCUGUAAAGGUUCCAUGUCCCUGUCCAGAAGAACUGAGCAGGACAAGUCCUGAGGGCUCACUUGGUCCGUGGCCAAAGUUCUGGAGAGUGUCAGGGCUGUCCAGCCUGCAGAGGGGCGUUUCCUGCAGUGAGAAGAACAUAAACUCACAGCCUGGCAGUCCCCUGCAGUGAGAGCUCAGCAGACAUCCACAGAGGCAAGUCCAGCAUCUGAAAGAAAGAAGAAGAAAAAAGGCCCCACUUGUGAGCUUUUCCAUGCUUUGCCAUUGGCCUUUGGACAAAGGAGGGGAAGGAUCUGUUCCAUGUGGGUGUCAUCCAAAGAGGCACAGCCCCUGUGCCAAGCCCAGCCUGGGCUGAGCAAGCUCCCUCACUUUCCCCCAGCCUGGAUUCUGGCUCCAGUCCAGUCUAAGUUUUCCCCUAUUUCCAUGUCUAGAGACAGAAAGUUGUUCUGUCAGGAUGAAAGACCUUAAACUGCACAUUGACUGGGGGGCUGUGACUGGGAUUCCAGCAGGGAAUUCAUUGUUUUACAAACAGGAACUAUUCCAGGG
Oenanthe melanoleuca is the source of this 579-nucleotide long non-coding RNA. RefSeq lists it as uncharacterized. The transcript is spliced from 3 exons. The record is from RefSeq and is a predicted model, not a curated record. NCBI's taxonomy places the organism in Eukaryota, Metazoa, Chordata, Aves, Passeriformes, Muscicapidae.